UAAAGGAAUCAGAAAGAAGAAACACCUAGUUAGUUCUAUUACAGAGACACGCAGAAAUAAAUAUGAAAGCAAGCAUGCACUACAAAAUGUUGCUUUCGUGUAGGAAGACCUCAUCAGAAAGCACCAUCUGCUGUGGCUCUCAAUGCACUGCAAUGUUUGAAAAAUUCGGAAGGUAGCAUUUGGAGAAUCAAAAGGAAAACAUAAUUUGUCAGAUCUUCUUUUGGAUAACUGAAUGAAAAGAUGAGAGAAAGAAAAAACAAGUGCAGAGGUCUUCUUCAAGAAUAGGGCAUUCUUGGGGCCAGGUAUAGAGUGAAGGCUUUCUAUUUUUGGUGGGAAAACUUGAGAAAAGACCCUGUCAUUUGAUCCACCAUUUCCGAUGCACAUGACUCGUUGCUCUGUCCUUCUUUGUGAUCAUAAAUGUGGCCAGAGGAGAGAACUGGUAGCCCAGUGGAAAUUUCUGUCAUGUUAUGACAGACCAUUGCUUGCCAUUAUUUUUUGAAUAAAUACUUUUGCUG
This is a long non-coding RNA of Pantherophis guttatus, 515 nucleotides long. RefSeq lists it as uncharacterized. Lineage: Eukaryota; Metazoa; Chordata; Lepidosauria; Squamata; Colubridae. The record is from RefSeq and is a predicted model, not a curated record.